AAUACUGCGCAAUGGAGGGAACUCUGACGCAGCGACGCCGCGUGAGCGAUGAAGGUCUUCGGAUCGUACAGCUCUGUCCUUGGGGAAGAAGGUCUUCGGACUUGACGGUACCUAAUGAGGAAGCCCCGGCUAACUACGUGCCAGCAGCCGCGGUAAUACGUAGGGGGCGAGCGUUGUCCGGAAUCACUGGGCGUAAAGGGUGCGUAGGCGGCCUGAUAAGUCAGAUGUGAAAUACCAGGGCUCAACCCCGGGGGGUGCAUUUGAAACUGUUGGGCUUGAGUGCAGGAGAGGAAAGUGGAAUUCCUAGUGUAGCGGUAAAAUGCGUAGAGAUUAGGAGGAACACCAGUGGCGAAGGCGACUUUCUGGACUGUAACUGACGCUGAGGCACGAAAGCGUGGGGAGCGAAC
This 407-nucleotide ribosomal RNA is filed under the name uncultured bacterium. Its description in RNAcentral is "partial 16S ribosomal RNA". It matches the Rfam family "Bacterial small subunit ribosomal RNA", at positions 360 to 773 of the family's 1533-position model. The record is from RNAcentral.